This 71-nucleotide transfer RNA is filed under the name Ovis aries (sheep). It matches the Rfam family "tRNA". From Rfam's summary of the family: Transfer RNA (tRNA) molecules are approximately 80 nucleotides in length. Their secondary structure includes four short double-helical elements and three loops (D, anti-codon, and T loops). Lineage: Eukaryota; Metazoa; Chordata; Mammalia; Artiodactyla; Bovidae. The record is from Rfam by way of RNAcentral.
UCCUGGUGGCUCAAAUGGUAAAGCGUCUGCCUGCAAUGCGGGAGACCCGGGUUUGAUUCCUGGGUCUGGAA